GGAUGAACGCUGGCGGCGUGCCUAAUACAUGCAAGUCGAGCGAACGGACGAGACGCUUGCUUUUCUGAUGUUAGCGGCGGACGGGUGAGUAACACGUGGAUAACCUACCUAUAAGACUGGGAUAACUUCGGGAAACCGGAGCUAAUACCGGAUAAUAUUUUGAACCGCAUGGUUCAAAAGUGAAAGACGGUCUUGCUGUCACUUAUAGAUGGAUCCGCGCUGCAUUAGCUAGUUGGUAAGGUAACGGCUUACCAAGGCAACGAUGCAUAGCCGACCUGAGAGGGUGAUCGGCCACACUGGAACUGAGACACGGUCCAGACUCCUACGGGAGGCAGCAGUAGGGAAUCUUCCGCAAUGGGCGAAAGCCUGACGGAGCAACGCCGCGUGAGUGAUGAAGGUCUUCGGAUCGUAAAACUCUGUUAUUAGGGAAGAACAUAUGUGUAAGUAACUGUGAACAUCUUGACGGUACCUAAUCAGAAAGCCACGGCUAACUACGUG
RNAcentral lists this ribosomal RNA (498 nucleotides) under uncultured bacterium. Its description in RNAcentral is "partial 16S ribosomal RNA". It matches the Rfam family "Bacterial small subunit ribosomal RNA", at positions 27 to 507 of the family's 1533-position model. The record is from RNAcentral.